UGGAGUCUCCCCCUGCUGGAAGGUAGAGAGAAUGCAGCUUUAAGGAGUCUCCCCCUGCUGGAAGGUAGAGAGAAUGCAGCUUUAAGGAGUCUCCCCCUGCUGGAAGGUAGAGAGAAUGCAGCUUUAAGGAGUCUCCCCCUGCUGGAAGGUAGAGAGAAUGCAGCUUUAAGGAGCUUCAGCCUUGGCUUCACUUCUCAUACCUGGAAGCUUCGUCCAUUAUUU
Long non-coding RNA from Etheostoma spectabile (orangethroat darter), 222 nucleotides. RefSeq lists it as uncharacterized. NCBI's taxonomy places the organism in Eukaryota, Metazoa, Chordata, Actinopteri, Perciformes, Percidae. The record is from RefSeq and is a predicted model, not a curated record. The transcript has 2 exons.